RNAcentral lists this transfer RNA (73 nucleotides) under Loxodonta africana (African savanna elephant). It matches the Rfam family "tRNA". From Rfam's summary of the family: Transfer RNA (tRNA) molecules are approximately 80 nucleotides in length. Their secondary structure includes four short double-helical elements and three loops (D, anti-codon, and T loops). Further hydrogen bonds mediate the characteristic L-shaped molecular structure. tRNAs have two regions of fundamental functional importance: the anti-codon, which is responsible for specific mRNA codon recognition, and the 3' end, to which the tRNAs corresponding amino acid is attached (by aminoacyl-tRNA synthetases). tRNAs cope with the degeneracy of the genetic code in two manners: having more than one tRNA (with a specific anti-codon) for a particular amino acid; and 'wobble' base-pairing, i.e. permitting non-standard base-pairing at the 3rd anti-codon position. Lineage: Eukaryota; Metazoa; Chordata; Mammalia; Proboscidea; Elephantidae. The record is from Rfam by way of RNAcentral.
GCCUGGGUAGUACAAGGGUUAACACACUGGGCUGCUAACCCAAAGGUUGGAGGUUCAAAUCCACCCACAGGUG